Astyanax mexicanus (Mexican tetra) is the source of this 73-nucleotide non-coding RNA. Lineage: Eukaryota; Metazoa; Chordata; Actinopteri; Characiformes; Acestrorhamphidae. The record is from the annotation of a RefSeq genome assembly.
GGCUCCAUAGCUUAGUGGUUAGAGCGCUGGUCUUGCAAACCAGAGGUCGCGAGUUCGAUUCUCGCUGGAGCCU